GGUGGAUGUGUUGAUUUUGUGGUGACUAUUACUAGGAACCUUGUGUUAUAUUACCGGGUUUAGUAUUUGUUGUAUAUUGGCCGAUAGCAUUUGUGUAACCCACAAUGUUAGGCAUAUUGGGUUGAGUUAGUGUUCCUUCAGACCCCGUACCCGGCGGGUUCAAGGAAACCCUUUAUUCGCUGGAUCGGGAAGACUCAGAUAGACGGGGUCAUGACCUAUGGCUGAGUUAUUACACGACGGUGUAAUGUGGCAGUGACCCGAAGGACUGUGGGCUGUCGCGCGGUGACCCGAAGGGCAGUGGGCCACGGUCGGUUGAAAGUUCCUUGUUCUGGCCUUUUUGGUAGAGAGAUAGGAUAUUGCCGAUAGUGAAGGAGGAACAUAACGUCACCAGGGCCCGAGUUUGUUAUAUAUAUUAUAUAGUGUUUGGGUUGUUUAAACCCUGGUUUAAAUCGAGUUUGAGAUUGAUGAUGAGCUAGUAAUUAGCAUAAUGCUAGUUAUCUUGCUAAUGCUAAUUAUCUUGCUAUCGUUUACCGCUGCGUAUUUCAGAUAUUGCUUAUUGUUAUUGAAUUGUGUUGUUAGGUGAACCUCUCGCUUUAGAUUGUUUGGGGUGGGAUAGCGAGGGGUUGUAUUUGCUAGUUGGGGAUUGUAACUCGCUGAGUAAUGCUAGAUUACUCACUCCUCACUUGUUGUUGU
This 693-nucleotide long non-coding RNA is filed under the name Brassica napus (rape). RNAcentral describes it as "long non-coding RNA (BNAP_LNC023343)". Lineage: Eukaryota; Viridiplantae; Streptophyta; Magnoliopsida; Brassicales; Brassicaceae. The record is from RNAcentral.